Molecule: long non-coding RNA, 1039 nt
Organism: Triticum aestivum (bread wheat)
Lineage: Eukaryota; Viridiplantae; Streptophyta; Magnoliopsida; Poales; Poaceae
Exons: 3
Source: RefSeq, a predicted model, not a curated record
AGUAUUUAUCGGCGAGCUCGUACUACUGUGCUCGCAGCAGCACUAUUCCCGAUCAUGUCAGCAGGAACUGAUAGUGUGGUGCGUUCUGGCAUUGGUUCAUGCACGAGAUGCUCCCAGUCUCUCUGAUGACCAGGGAAAUCUCACCGGUGAGGCAGUGACCAACUGUGGACUAAUAAAUCAAGGGCCCACCACUCUUUUGGAGAGCUUUAGAGCUUGUCACCAUCCUUAAUUACUAAGGAAUUGUACCUUCGAGUACACUUUGCUGUCCAACACAAAAAGAGAGGAGACAUUACUGUGCAGAACCGACUACAUAUACUGAUUGCAUGUCUGUGGCUGAUCAAGCUCGGCCAUUUCUGGGCACAGAAAACUGAUAAAUGAGAGUAGUACCAAGGAUCUCUUUAUAGAUCCGGGGAGAUACGAUGAACUGGAGCCAUGGCCAUAGGAAUCGUAUGAUCAUGAGUACAGUACUUGUCUACACCCCUAUGCAUGGCCCAGAGUCUUCCUGGCUCCCUUGUCUCUCGCUGGCAAGCACGUUUUGAGCCCCCAAGUGAGUGAAGACAUGACCAGUUUUUUUGGUUCUUUAAAAAAAAGAAGGGGAAAGACAUGAACAUGUUGAUGGCCACAUGUGGGAUGGAGGAUGUGGUACCAAAAUUUCGAGCGGAAUAUGCCACCAAAAUCAAUGGACAUCGCACAAAUAGCAAAAGAAUGACCUUUAAGGAAAAUCCAAGUGACUUAUUGAGGUCAUACCAUGUCUAUAAAACAAUAACAUCAAGUAUACAAGAAUUGGAAGGUAAAAAAAAAUGUCAACACCAGCCCCAGGCUCAUUUGGUGACAUAUCUAUAGUUGGAAUGUUAUAUGUUUUUGCUUCUUCUUUUUACAUAUUUCCAACCGAUAGGCUGAUAUAACAAAUACUCCUAUAUCAGUAGCAUGCAUCUUUCUCUCAACCACCUUGUUAGCCUCAUCAAUGGAUCUCUUUGGACCUUGCUCGCCAGCGACAGUGGACCGAGGUGCAUGCAUAUAUGUUAUGUGUGAAUUGCAA